GUCAUAAAUGGGCACCGCGUGAUUCAUCGGUCUGGUGUUUCUGUUUCAGGUUAGCCUUCAGCAAUCAAGGCGAAUAAAAAAAGUGUACUAAAAUCAAUUUGCAGUCUUGUCUGACGGGUCAUAUAUGGCCCGCGAGCCGCCAGUUGCCCAUCUCAUUAUUAGACCCAUGAGAAUUGAACAGGUCUGGUCAUCACUACCACACAGUGAUUGUGAAUCCACUCCCAAAGCAAUUCAUCAAUAAAUGCUCUGAAUAUUCCUGUCAUCUUUGAACUGAAGAAGAGUUUCCAGAAGAGCAGGACAAACUUCAAGUGUGUCAACAAUUUCGGACAUACUACUGCAAAGAUGGAUUUUAUUAAAGAGGAGAGAGAGGACAUGGGUUAUCCAGAACCACACAGAGUGAAAGAUGAAGAAACUGAGGAACAAAUAGGUCUGAUGGAAGGGAAAGAAGAAAGUCAAGAACUGAAUGAAGUGGAGGAGACACGUCACUUUCAGAUGCCUUAUGAUUAUGUAACUGCAGAGCAAUCAUUUAGUUGCUCACAGACUGAAAUGAAUUUCUCACAACAAACAAAUCAAAGAACAAAAGUCACAAAUUCUUUUACCUGCCCUCAGUGUGCAAAGAGUUUCAAACGGAAAGACCACCUUAAAAUGGGAGCACUGCAUAGCGUCUCUCCCAUCUGCGCUCUUUUACCACACAAUUACAGCACAAAAAACCCCCCCCACAAGAAUCAACAUCAGAUGGGACAUUGAAAGACACAAUGCCACUGGUUGAAAUGAUCAUCUCUGAUGUUAUCUGUGAAUCUGCGUUUCAACCACAGGAAGACGUCAAUGAUAUCAACAACUUACUCUUAAUUGUACACAUUUACCUCAGGAACGUUAUCUGAUGUUACAGUUUGUUAGCUUGAAAAAAUUAACUGUAGAGAAGAGCAAAUUGCUAUAAUCUUUAACGUUCAGAGAUUCACUUUGCAUGGAUACAGCUCAUUGCAAAGGUUUAUGACAGCCCACAUGCAUUCAUUAAUUUGUGGCCGCAUUACCACCUCGGAUUGUGCAUCAUUUUUCAAACUCAAAAUGUGAUUCUGGAUCACUGCAACUCAAAAUGAUGGCGCAGGUCACGUUUAUGUAAGGAAUAAUUAACAAUGGACCAUCAAUUUUGCAGCCUCUGCGUCUUAGCCGCAUUACCACAUCUGGGUGUGGAUUAUUGUUCAUUAAUUCAACGGGUCAGUGUCAAUUAUUCCGCUAAUACCACGGUUACCAUUUCAAAAGACAUCUUUCAGGGUUUUAUCUCAGGACAUUUUCAGGUUUGCCACAGAUAUUAAAUUGAGAUAUUUCAGAAAUUGUUUGUCAUUAUUAAUGGAUUUACUUAGCCAAUGUUUUUAUUUGGUUGUUUUGCGGUGGAAGCCUAUACGGCUCUUUGAAAUAACUGAAAUAAUUUGCCAAAAUGAUUUGAAACUGUUUUGUGGUCAAGACCUGGAACUGCUUCUUAGCCAUGUGUUUACUGAAUAAUAAAUGCAGUAUAUAUAUUAAAGCAAAUGGAUUUAGCUUAUUCCAGGGCAGGGGCACGGUUGAAAAUAACAUUCAUUGUGUCCAAGGUUGUAUAAUGUAAAACAUUUUUAUAGUGAAUGUAAUUUUGCUGUGCAUGAAGACAUUUUUUUUAAUUGUAAUUAUGUAAUUAUAUAAUCAUAUAAGUGACCAGUAUAAUAUAAUGUAGUCUUUAAUUUUAAGGAUUGGUAAGCUAAUGUAUAGGAAUAAGUCUAUAAAAGAGAAACCUUUCUGUAAGUAAUCGUGCAACUCUUCCAUUCUUAUCACAUAUAUGUUAUAAACAUCAAAGGCACAUGUUGAAAAACAUCAUAAACACCCGAUUAUAAUAAUUUUUCAGAAAAGAGAUACAAGGUUGCAUAUAUCGGGGGAGUCUGAACAACUUUUUCAGCAAUUAUGAUAUAGUGUAUGUGUAAUUUAUUAGGGUUUCCGUUCAGAUCCAGCUGGUUUCAGUUUACUUUUCAUUAAAAAUCUGCCACCAUAUCCCUAUAUUUAACAUGAUUUCGUGAGAAUUUGUAUGUAUUUUAUAUAAAGCGUGGUUCUAACAAACGUUCAUUUACUUAUGUUUACACUGACACCGAAAAACGUACAAUAUUGGCGUAUUGACAGCAUCUAAAAUGUAUGAAUGAAUGAACGUUACAUUUAUAUUGCGCUUUCCUGACACUACACUCAAAGCGCUUUACACAGUGAACAGGGGAUCAAAAUUAUUCCUUGCUUCAGCAAAUAUUGCUCAUUAAAAUAAACAGAUUUUUACUCAAAAUGUAAUGCUGUCAACUUUCCUUAAUUAUAUGCUAUAUUUGUACAAGAUAUUGAGAUUAUGCUGUACUCAUAAUAAUAAAGAAACUUUGCUAAUUAUUUUGAGCGACAAUAAUCUUAAUUUUAGUAAACCCAGCCUAAUUUUGUAAAAUUCCAUGGGAAACCACGAUGCAGAAUGUGACUGAAUUUUAAGCAAGCAUAUUUGGGUCUGGCUGCCAUUUUGGAUGAGGAGAGCUCGUGGUGGACAACACAAAGUUUUUGCCAAAAAGUUCAAAGGUAAAUUACUUUAAACAUAGUGUGAAAUCAGUAGAGGUUUUUUUUUUUUUCCCUGUUGCUAUAAAGUUUGUGUAUUCAAGUUUCUAUUCGCUUAAAGAAGUUAUUAACUUACAUUACAUUUGCAAAUCUACAGCAUAUUAAACGUUUGUCUGCAUGAGGCUAAUUAGAUGUGUACAUGUUCACAGUCGAACAAACAAAGGAGCCUGCGCAUUUUUUCACCAGGCAGAUACUCUUCAUCUUCAACUGCUGCUCAGGGCCUUCACCUACAACUCCUCACUCGCAUCGCAGAAACUCAGCAAACAUCAGUGGCAGAGAAUUCCCGCAGAUUUUUCACAGGAAAGACAGUUCAUCUUCAACCGCUGCUCAGGUGUCACUCACGUGGCAGAAACUCAGCAGGAAACAGGAUAGGGUCAUUUAAAUUAUAGUUCUGGCAGGUCUACAACUAUAACUGAAAGAAGAGUCAGAGGUUUUCAAGGCAAAGAAAAAAAGGAAGAGGAGCUUGACCAAGCACAGAAAGGAGCAGAUGCCAUCAAUGCUUGGAGCAGGAAGAGCGAAAGUUGCCUUUCAACCCACUGGAUGUACUGACUGUCCUUGAAAAUGAGCUGGGGACAUUUGUCAAACCUUAGGUCAGUGCACUGACUUUUUGGGCUACUUUAUGCCCUUCACAUCAGCUACCCAAAGAAGCUGACUCUUUUUCCUUUCUUUUUUUGAGGUCAUACAGUAAAUGGUGUUGCUUCUUGAUGUUGGCAAUGUCUGGCCAAGUUGAAAGAUCUUUUGAAUGAAUAGUUUCAUUUAUAAAUACAAAUUGUUUCUGUUUAUCAUCAUGAUUUUGUUACUAUUUUUGUAUUUGAGAACAUAUUUUGCUCUAGGAGAGCAUGAAUAUCUAUGUUAGAUUGUAAAUUUGUAAACAACAAUAAAAACCUUUGACAUUCACCAGUCGUCUGUUAUUUCUUCAGGUCAUUUUAUUUUAAAGUUAAUUGAAAGUAAAUCAACAGAACCUAGAAUUUGAAGCUGCUAAUAGCACUUACAAUUGAGCUAAAUGACCUUAAAAUACAUAGUUGGGUAAACAGAGACUCUUAGGGUUAAAAAAACCAUAUAUGUAGUAGCUGGCGUGGCACAGUAUUUUAAGUAAACAUUUCUGAAUGGAAGCUCGUUAAUUUGGCCAUAGCCAGCUACAUUUUUUUUUAGGUAACGUUGCUUAAAAUUCCUAGUGGAAUUUGCUUAAAAAGUGGGAUGCAAAAGUGAUGCGCUAUAUUUUUAAGCAAAUCCAGCACAUUAUUUUUUUUCAGUGGACUCUCCUCAACCACCACCAGUUUGCAGCAUCCACCUGGAUGAUGCAGUGGCAGCCAUAGUGCGCCAGUAUGCUCACCACACACCAGUAAUCAUGUACGAAUUAUCAACUUUAGAGAAGUACAAAUGUUUCUUUCUUAUGAAAUCCAUGAAUAUUGAAUUCAUGAAAUUAAUCAGUUGAUUUUUAUUGUAUUAGUAAUCAAUGAGAUAAAUUAAAUAAUCAAUGCAAUCAUAUGUAUUUAACUCUAUGCAUUGACAUAUUUACCUUAGCCUAUAUGACAUAAUAGUGCUUUCAUUCUAUUCUGUGUGAUUUCUAGUGUCGUAAUCAAAUUGUUUCAAAGAAUUAUACCACUUUACCCAUCACUAAACUUAA
Molecule: RNA transcript, 4228 nt
Organism: Myxocyprinus asiaticus (Chinese sucker)
Lineage: Eukaryota; Metazoa; Chordata; Actinopteri; Cypriniformes; Catostomidae
Gene name: oocyte zinc finger protein XlCOF26-like
Exons: 8
Source: RefSeq, a predicted model, not a curated record